This 1499-nucleotide unclassified non-coding RNA is filed under the name Hevea brasiliensis (rubber tree). Lineage: Eukaryota; Viridiplantae; Streptophyta; Magnoliopsida; Malpighiales; Euphorbiaceae. The record is from RNAcentral.
UUUUUUAAUUUUUGCACCUCACCUCUCUCAGGCGCGCGCCUUGCACAGGGUCCAGGACCCUUGGCUCCUCGAUGCGCCUUGAGCCUUUAACAACUAUGGGUGGAUCCACCAAUCUAUGUUGGAUGCAAGCAAACUAUUUUUAUUGCUCCUCACUCAACUCAUCCUCAAUGGCUGCCACUUCCACCUAACUAUAAAUAAAAUCUUCUAUUAUAUUUUCACAGAUCCAUCUUAGCACACUAACAUCUGCCAUUUUCACAUUCCUUUAUCACCCAACUUUCAAUGCAAUGUGUCAUAACUAGUAAAAUUGUAAAAAUCAGUUUUUAUGAUCAUAAGACAUCCACUGCACUAAUUAUCUAUUAUCAAUCAGUUUAAAAAAUUAUAGGAAGUCAAUGCACAGUUGAAUGGAGCAUGGCAUUAGGAUGCUAAACCUUCAACACAUCAUCACAACUUACGCUGCAGGAAAUAGAUCAUAACAGCUCCAAUAAUUCUAAACCUGAGAAAAUAAUACAUUAUCCUUCAAUUAGGCUUACCGCCCACCAUAAUUGUACUAAUUGGCACCUAACAACAAGUAAUCUUUUAUACAGCUACACAGUUUAAAUAAAUAGUUCUACCAUAAUCCUUAGUUUUAUCUAGAGAAAAAACUAGUUAGAUUUUGUUUAGCAGAUGGUUUCAAUUUAGCAGCAUUAAUAUAUAGAAUAUGAUUGGUUUUAUUUCAGCAUAGCAUUGGAUUCAAGGUAUUCUCAAACCUAAACAUAGGAAGGUCAUUAUUCCUAGAGACGACACAUCCAUAAAAUCUACAUUACCUGGGCCCUUCAUUUAACACUUAAGUACUAAUGUCUGACACUUGGAUAUGGGGAACGGUAUGGAUGCUGGACACACCAAAAUGUUUGAAAAUAUUCCAAAACAUGAGUCUGAUGCUUGGACACCAACCCACUCUCAAUGUUGCAGGAUGAGGAUAAAACUCACAUCUCAUCAUCAACUUCAAGCAAUUUCCAUGUUAAAUUUUCUUAAAACUAAACCUGAUUUUAAAUAUGUUCUCCACAAUCAUGAGAUAUAUGAAUGGUUACCAACUGACGAGGGGCUUAUUUUUUUGGGCGUGUUCCAAAAUGGUCCAAACAUGUUCCCAAGUGUGCUAACACAUUUUAACUUGCUGAUUUGUAAAAAUACAGCUGCAGAUUAAGUUUUAGAUGCUUUUCCUAUUUCAAUUAGGAAAUGUUUCUAAUUUUCCUAUUUUAAUUAGGAUUAGUUAGGAUUCUAUUCGAUUUCCUAUCCUAGCGAUUUGAAUAUACAAGGUGAAUCUAUCGAUUUGGUUGAUUUUUUUUUUCCUAGAGGGUUGUUUGAGCCUAUAGUCUCAAAUUUUAGGGUAUGUUCGGCAUGGUUUCAAAUCGCAGUCGUGAUAGUGUUCACAAUCGCUGUCACUAGUAAUAGAAAUAGCCUGUAAUGGCCGUAGCAUAACGGUAAUAGCCUGACGCUACGCAAAUUUUUUUGAAAAAUUUACA